This 482-nucleotide ribosomal RNA is filed under the name uncultured bacterium. Its description in RNAcentral is "partial 16S ribosomal RNA". It matches the Rfam family "Bacterial small subunit ribosomal RNA", at positions 30 to 507 of the family's 1533-position model. The record is from RNAcentral.
AUUGAACGCUGGCGGCAUGCUUUACACAUGCAAGUCGAACGGGAACAUGCCGUCAGGUGCUGACGGGGUGCGUACGGGGGGGGAAUGCAUCGUUAGGUUCCCAGUCAUGGGGGAUAACGGGUGCUAAGAGUAGCUAAUACCUCAGACGAAAUAUGUAUUAACGCUGGGGUGCGUAAGGGUUGGCUCCGUUGGAUGGGCGGAUGUCAGAUUAUGUAGUUGGCGGGGCAAAGGCGCACCAAGAGAACGAUCUGUAACUGGUAGGAGAGGACAAGGCGCCACACUGGGAGUGAGAAACGGCAGCGACUCCUACGGGAGGCAGCAGUGCGGAAUUUUGCACGAUGGAGGCAAGCGUGAUCCAGCACUGCCGCGUGAAGCAAGAUGGACUUCGGGUUGUAAACUGAUUUUGUCCGGAAGGAAACAGAUCUGGUUAAUCCCCGAGGAUAAUGACGGUACCGUAAGAAUAAGCACCGGCUAACUCCGUG